GGGACAUGUCAGUUGUCUGCUCAGGCUUUGUAGGAGGCUUUCAUCCUGCACUGCUCAAAUAAGAAAAACCAUGAGGUCACCAGUUGCUAAACACUUGACGUGGUUUCCCAAGGUUUGCCUCUCUGCAACCCCCCUUCCAGACAGAAACACUGUUCUGCUGCUAAUGGUGCACCAAAAAAAUCCACCUUUGUGUUCCAAAUGCCUUCCUGCAGAACAAGCUGCUCCGUUGCUCAUCUCCCAGGAUUAAGGAUGGAAUGGGGUGGGACAGGAUGGGACAGAGACAGACUUCUUGAGCCACCUCCACUGUUACAUCUUUUUAG
Molecule: long non-coding RNA, 320 nt
Organism: Passer domesticus (house sparrow)
Lineage: Eukaryota; Metazoa; Chordata; Aves; Passeriformes; Passeridae
Exons: 2
Source: RefSeq, a predicted model, not a curated record